Long non-coding RNA from Megalobrama amblycephala (Wuchang bream), 1989 nucleotides. RefSeq lists it as uncharacterized. Lineage: Eukaryota; Metazoa; Chordata; Actinopteri; Cypriniformes; Xenocyprididae. The record is from RefSeq and is a predicted model, not a curated record. The transcript is spliced from 8 exons.
CCUGUAUCACAUGAAAUACGUUCUGAGGAAACUAUUUUGCAAAUCGCAAUUACGUUACAUGCCAACAUAUAAGCAGUGCUAUUACGUUGGUCCUUAACCUAAUAAAGCCAAUUUAUUGCAGUGCUAUUACGUUUGUCCUGAACAUAAUACAUCCAAAGCAGGUUUCUUUUCACACGUAGCAGCUAAUGCUGUUCAUUUUGUUUUAAUUAUUUACUCCCUUUUUUCUGAUCGGGCUACAAAAUAUUAUUUAUGCCAGGGGGAGUCAAAUGGCGGCACCCAGAUAAUUUUUAUCUGGCCCUCCAACUGGUUUUUGAUGUUUAAAACCGCUCGCAAUCUGAUAUCAAAGUCCCCGCAAAGGUUUUCAUAAUAUUCACUCAGUGAAUGUCAACCCGUUCUCACUCCUGACCGUUCUCACGCUGAAGAAGUCUCCUUCAGAACACAUCGCGAUAUUUGGCAUCAGUUCGCGUGUGCUGGAUGUUGCUGAAAAGACAAAAAGGGCCUUUUGGAAAUGGAUGAAGGAGACAGAAAGCUGCAAAGGCAAAUAAUUGCAAUGGAUUACUUGCAGAUUACUUAGUCCUUCUUUUUAGGAUCUCUACAACAUCAAACUCAACAGCUCUUUUAAGAGCCGACCCUCACAAGAGCUACUAGUGAGUCGCUGCAAACCUGCCGUGAUCAGCCCUUUCCAGAGAAGGAAGACCAGUCCUUAUAUCAAAGCAAGCUCAUCGAAGUCCUUUGUUUAGGGUGAGGAAGGAACAUGACCAUCUCAUGCCCAAAGAAGACAGAAGUCCAUUGAUAGCAAGUGAAGUCACUAACAGAAGAUCCUAGAGGAAAAACGACUGAUGUGCAGCUACGGAGGAACACAAGAGGCAGAAACUAUGCAUGGCCAUGGCUUCUUCAUGAGUACGACCAGGACUGAAGAACGCCUGACAAUGGGAUGUUAAGACUUCUUCCUCUGGUUGAGAAAAAGCUACAGCACAUCAGUGAUCACAUCUUCUGGUCAUCAGUUGUACUGUAGAGUACAACUGAACAAACUGUUUAGAAGAAGAAGAACAUGAACAUGAUAGAGACAUGUACAGGGAAGAGCAAGAACCCAGUUCAGCUGUGAUAAUGAAUCUUUAUUUUAAACUCAAUAUCAAAUCUGUUUUCUGGAUCAUAGUUGACUGGAUGGGAUUCUGUGGCGCUCAUUUGUGCAAUAGGAGUAAAGUCUGUGAAUGGAUUAUUAUGACGUUAACGUAUUUUUGAAGACACGUUUUUAUUUAUCUUGAAUCUCAUUUGUCUUUAUGCAAAUUUCAACCUUAUGCUGUAUCCUCCAAUAAGGUGUUGUGUAAUAAAUUAUGGUGAACGUGGUGUUUGGUAGAGUAAAUACAAUUUAACUAAGCUGAGUUUAUUUCAUACACUGUAAUGAAUUGCUGUAAAAAUUACAGCAAUAUUUUACAGCCGAUGGCUGUAUUUUAAUAAUACAGCAUAUUGCUGUAAAUUGCAAUGAAUUCCAGGGGCGUGGCGGUUUGAAUCAAAUUUACAGAAUAUUGCUGUAAAUUUCAAAUAUACAGAGGCAUUGUGGGAUCUCCAACGGUCAAGAUUCGAGUAGCAGCAAGAGGAGUGAUUUACAACUGUGGUAUUUAUCUGGAGAGAGGAACAAAGACGAAAGGAAAAGUGCCAUCUAAAACAACAGGCAGACAGUUCAGAAGAAACGGGUUGCGUUCAACCUACAUGUGGCCACUCUUCUGUGCAAAGUGAUGGAUUUUCAGUGGAAUUUCUGAAAUCCUCUCUUUGAAUCCUGGGAUGGAACAUCAUCUGGAGCAGAAUUGUUCUUUUUUGAUCGCAAGUUUGUUGGACUUGUUGUUUGGCCAUGUUGGUAUGUUCAUGAAGUGAUAAAAGUGAUGUGGGUUUUAAGAAAUGUUUUUAUAUGACCCUGUUGGUCAAGUUAUAGUUAUAAUUGUAUUUCUUUGUGUGAAGGGCCAUGAUGGCCAAUAAGUAAUUUAAAAACAU